Molecule: non-coding RNA, 121 nt
Organism: Picea glauca (white spruce)
Lineage: Eukaryota; Viridiplantae; Streptophyta; Pinopsida; Pinales; Pinaceae
Source: Rfam
AUUUAAUCCUACAUCAUAGUGUUAAUCCAUCGGAUCCCAUUAGAAAUCCGCAGUUAAGCGCGCUCAAGAUAGAUUAGUACUGGGAUGGGUGACCGCCCAAGAAGUCCUAGUGUUUUACAUG